UCGAAUCAAUUUUUUUGUUCU
RNAcentral lists this non-coding RNA (21 nucleotides) under Caenorhabditis elegans. Lineage: Eukaryota; Metazoa; Nematoda; Chromadorea; Rhabditida; Rhabditidae. The record is from RNAcentral.